UGAUGACGAGACGCUAAGGCGUUGAAGUAGUGUAUGUCAUGCUUCCAAGAAAAGCUCGCAAUGUCAUAAAUAUAAAAUGCCUGUACCAUAACCGACACAGGUGGGUAGGUAGAGUAUACUAAGGGGCGCGAGAUAACUCUCUCUAAGGAACUCGGCAAAAUGACUCCGUAACUUCGGGAGAAGGAGUGCCUUAUUUAUAAGGUUGCAAUAACAAGAUCCAAGCAACUGUUUAUCAAAAACACAGGUCUCCGCUAAGUCGUAAGACGAUGUAUGGGGGCUGACGCCUGCCCAGUGCCAGAAGGUUAAAGAAGUUGGUUAGUGUAUGCGAAGCUGAUGACUGAAGCCCUGGUGAACGGCGGCCGUAACAAUAACGGUCCUAAGGUAGCGAAAUUCCUUGUCGGGUAAGUUCCGACCCGCACGAAAGGCGUAAUGAUUUGGAUACUGUCUCGGAGAGAGGCUCGGUGAAAUAGACUUGUCUGUGAAGAUGCGGACUACCUGCACCAGGACAGAAAGACCCUAUGAAGCUUUACUGUAACUUGAAAUUGGAAUUGGACUUUGCUUGCGCAGUAUAGGUGGGAAGCGUUGAAGAUAUUCUUGCGGGAGUAUUGGAGCUAUCAGUGAGAUACCACUCUUGUAAUGUUAGAUUUCUAACUUUGAACCAUAAUCUGGUCAAAGAACAGUUUCAGGUGGGCAGUUUGACUGGGGCGGUCGCCUCCCAAAUGGUAACGGAGGCGUACAAAGGUUUCCUCUGAACGGAUAGAAAUCGUAUCUAGAGUGUAAAGGCAUAAGGAAGCUUGACUGUGAGGCCUACAAGUCGAGCAGGGACGAAAGUCGGUCUUAGUGAUCUGACGGUACUGAGUGGAAAGGCCGUCACUCAACGGAUAAAAGUUACUCUAAGGAUAACAGGCUGAUCUCCCCCAAGAGUUCACAUCGACGGGGAGGUUUGGCACCUCGAUGUCGGCUCAUCGCAUCCUGGGGCGGUAGUACGUCCCAAGGGUUGGGCUGUUCGCCCAUGAAAGCGGUACGCGAGCUGGGUUCAGAACGUCGUGAGACAGUUCGGUCCAUAUCCGGUGUAGGCGCUAGAAUAUUGAGAGGAGCCUUCUUUAGUACGAGAGGACCGAGAAGGACACACCGCUGGUGUACCAGUUAUCGUGCCAACGGUAAACGCUGGGUAGCUAUGUGUGGAGUGGAUAACCGCUGAAAGCAUCUAAGUGGGAAGCCCACCUCAAGAUGAGUAUUCUCAC
This 1244-nucleotide ribosomal RNA is filed under the name metagenome. RNAcentral describes it as "bacterial LSU rRNA". It matches the Rfam family "Bacterial large subunit ribosomal RNA", at positions 1564 to 2817 of the family's 2925-position model. The record is from RNAcentral.